Molecule: ribosomal RNA, 373 nt
Filed under: uncultured bacterium
Lineage: Bacteria
Description: bacterial SSU rRNA
Rfam family: Bacterial small subunit ribosomal RNA
Source: RNAcentral
UACGUAGGGGGCGAGCGUUAUCCGGAAUUAUUGGGCGUAAAGAGUGCGUAGGUGGUUGUUUAAGCGUGGGGUGAAAGGCAAUGGCUUAACCAUUGUGAGCCUCGCGAACUGGGCGACUUGAGUGCAGGAGAGGAAAGCGGAAUUCCUAGUGUAGCGGUGAAAUGCGUAGAUAUUAGGAGGAACACCAGUGGCGAAGGCGGCUUUCUGGACUGUAACUGACACUGAGGCACGAAAGCGUGGGGAGCAAACAGGAUUAGAUACCCUGGUAGUCCACGCCGUAAACGAUGAGCACUAGGUGUCGGGGCCGCAAGGCUUCGGUGCCGCAGUUAACGCAUUAAGUGCUCCGCCUGGGGAGUACGCACGCAAGUGUGAA